AUGCUCUGGUUUCUCUUCAUAUCGCAUAAAUUUUUCGCAUUUUACUAAAGAUUUCCGUGGAGAGGAACAGUGAAGAGUUUUUACUCAAUUUUUUUAGGCUUCGCUUCGGUGAAGCU
Small nuclear RNA from Gopherus agassizii (Agassiz's desert tortoise), 116 nucleotides. Its record names the gene U5. It matches the Rfam family "U5 spliceosomal RNA". Rfam says of the family: U5 RNA is a component of both types of known spliceosome. The precise function of this molecule is unknown, though it is known that the 5' loop is required for splice site selection and p220 binding, and that both the 3' stem-loop and the Sm site are important for Sm protein binding and cap methylation. The record is from Ensembl. NCBI's taxonomy places the organism in Eukaryota, Metazoa, Chordata, Testudines, Testudinidae.